GGAUAGCGUGCAGGGACUCAAAAUGCGGAGGUGGCGGGUUUUGAAACCCGUAACAGCUAGUUGUUGAUCCAGUCAACUAGCACCACCCUCAGUCAGGAGGAGGAUGACCUGCUAGCUGUGCUAACCAUAAGGAGACUGAUCUGGCAGUGCCAUCCAUGGUGGAACAUCUCCGGCGUGUUCGUCGGGUCUGGCGCGAGGCCCAGGCAGCCCUCGUCCGCACUGCGGCCCGCAAUCAGCGAGUGGCGGAUCGGCACCGGCCCCGGACUACCAGCCGGGACAGAUGGUCUGGCUAUCAUCCCGUGAUCUGCCCCUCCAGACUGAGUCCCGUAAACUGACUCCGAGUGUCCACCAGUCCACUAAGUCCUCCUGCAGAGCUCCCCCCACCCACCCUUGACAUUGAUGACCACCCGGCGUACACAGUAUAUAAGGUUUUGGACGUACGCCGGCGUGGUCGAGGCUACCAGUACCUCGUGGACUGGAAGGGUUACGGUCCAGAGGAGAGACAGUGGAUUUCUCGUUCCCUCAUCCUUGACCAGUCUAUUUUGGAUGACUUUUAUGAACAGUUCCCGG
Molecule: long non-coding RNA, 570 nt
Organism: Gasterosteus aculeatus aculeatus (three-spined stickleback)
Lineage: Eukaryota; Metazoa; Chordata; Actinopteri; Perciformes; Gasterosteidae
Source: Ensembl